CCUUUUGUAUAAUGGGUCAGCGACUUAUAUUCUGUAGCAAGGUUAACCGAAUAGGGGAGCCGAAGGGAAACCGAGUCUUAACUGGGCGUUAAGUUGCAGGGUAUAGACCCGAAACCCGGUGAUCUAGCCAUGGGCAGGUUGAAGGUUGGGUAACACUAACUGGAGGACCGAACCGACUAAUGUUGAAAAAUUAGCGGAUGACUUGUGGCUGGGGGUGAAAGGCCAAUCAAACCGGGAGAUAGCUGGUUCUCCCCGAAAGCUAUUUAGGUAGCGCCUCGUGAAUUCAUCUCCGGGGGUAGAGCACUGUUUCGGCAAGGGGGUCAUCCCGACUUACCAACCCGAUGCAAACUGCGAAUACCGGAGAAUGUUAUCACGGGAGACACACGGCGGGUGCUAACGUCCGUCGUGAAGAGGGAAACAACCCAGACCGCCAGCUAAGGUCCCAAAGUCAUGGUUAAGUGGGAAACGAUGUGGGAAGGCCCAGACAGCCAGGAUGUUGGCUUAGAAGCAGCCAUCAUUUAAAGAAAGCGUAAUAGCUCACUGGUCGAGUCGGCCUGCGCGGAAGAUGUAACGGGGCUAAACCAUGCACCGAAGCUGCGGCAGCGACACUAUGUGUUGUUGGGUAGGGGAGCGUUCUGUAAGCCUGUGAAGGUGUACUGUGAGGUAUGCUGGAGGUAUCAGAAGUGCGAAUGCUGACAUAAGUAACGAUAAAGCGGGUGAAAAGCCCGCUCGCCGGAAGACCAAGGGUUCCUGUCCAACGUUAAUCGGGGCAGGGUGAGUCGACCCCUAAGGCGAGGCCGAAAGGCGUAGUCGAUGGGAAACAGGUUAAUAUUCCUGUACUUGGUGUUACUGCGAAGGGGGGACGGAGAAGGCUAUGUUGGCCGGGCGACGGUUGUCCCGGUUUAAGCGUGUAGGCUGGUUUUCCAGGCAAAUCCGGAAAAUCAAGGCUGAGGCGUGAUGACGAGGCACUACGGUGCUGAAGCAACAAAUGCCCUGCUUCCAGGAAAAGCCUCUAAGCAUCAGGUAACAUCAAAUCGUACCCCAAACCGACACAGGUGGUCAGGUAGAGAAUACCAAGGCGCUUGAGAGAACUCGGGUGAAGGAACUAGGCAAAAUGGUGCCGUAACUUCGGGAGAAGGCACGCUGAUAUGUAGGUGAAGUCCCUCGCGGAUGGAGCUGAAAUCAGUCGAAGAUACCAGCUGGCUGCAACUGUUUAUUAAAAACACAGCACUGUGCAAACACGAAAGUGGACGUAUACGGUGUGACGCCUGCCCGGUGCCGGAAGGUUAAUUGAUGGGGUUAGCCGCAAGGCGAAGCUCUUGAUCGAAGCCCCGGUAAACGGCGGCCGUAACUAUAACGGUCCUAAGGUAGCGAAAUUCCUUGUCGGGUAAGUUCCGACCUGCACGAAUGGCGUAAUGAUGGCCAGGCUGUCUCCACCCGAGACUCAGUGAAAUUGAACUCGCUGUGAAGAUGCAGUGUACCCGCGGCAAGACGGAAAGACCCCGUGAACCUUUACUAUAGCUUGACACUGAACAUUGAGCCUUGAUGUGUAGGAUAGGUGGGAGGCUUUGAAGUGUGGACGCCAGUCUGCAUGGAGCCGACCUUGAAAUACCACCCUUUAAUGUUUGAUGUUCUAACGUUGACCCGUAAUCCGGGUUGCGGACAGUGUCUGGUGGGUAGUUUGACUGGGGCGGUCUCCUCCUAAAGAGUAACGGAGGAGCACGAAGGUUGGCUAAUCCUGGUCGGACAUCAGGAGGUUAGUGCAAUGGCAUAAGCCAGCUUGACUGCGAGCGUGACGGCGCGAGCAGGUGCGAAAGCAGGUCAUAGUGAUCCGGUGGUUCUGAAUGGAAGGGCCAUCGCUCAACGGAUAAAAGGUACUCCGGGGAUAACAGGCUGAUACCGCCCAAGAGUUCAUAUCGACGGCGGUGUUUGGCACCUCGAUGUCGGCUCAUCACAUCCUGGGGCUGAAGUAGGUCCCAAGGGUAUGGCUGUUCGCCAUUUAAAGUGGUACGCGAGCUGGGUUUAGAACGUCGUGAGACAGUUCGGUCCCUAUCUGCCGUGGGCGCUGGAGAACUGAGGGGGGCUGCUCCUAGUACGAGAGGACCGGAGUGGACGCAUCACUGGUGUUCGGGUUGUCAUGCCAAUGGCACUGCCCGGUAGCUAAAUGCGGAAGAGAUAAGUGCUGAAAGCAUCUAAGCACGAAACUUGCC
This 2210-nucleotide ribosomal RNA is filed under the name Escherichia coli. RNAcentral's name for it is "partial 23S ribosomal RNA". It matches the Rfam family "Bacterial large subunit ribosomal RNA", at positions 604 to 2798 of the family's 2925-position model. Lineage: Bacteria; Pseudomonadati; Pseudomonadota; Gammaproteobacteria; Enterobacterales; Enterobacteriaceae. The record is from RNAcentral.